RNAcentral lists this ribosomal RNA (730 nucleotides) under uncultured beta proteobacterium. Its description in RNAcentral is "bacterial SSU rRNA". It matches the Rfam family "Bacterial small subunit ribosomal RNA", at positions 329 to 1051 of the family's 1533-position model. The record is from RNAcentral. Lineage: Bacteria; Pseudomonadati; Pseudomonadota; Betaproteobacteria.
GUUCAGAUUUCUANCGGAGGCAGCAGUGGGGAAUUUUGACAAUGGGGGCAAGCCUGAUCCAGCCAUGCCGCGUGAGUGAAGAAGGCCUUCGGGUUGUAAAGCUCUUUCGGCGGGGACGAAAAGGUCCGUGCUAACACCACGGAUCCAUGACGGUACCCGCAGAAGAAGCACCGGCUAACUACGUGCCAGCAGCCGCGGUAAUACGUAGGGUGCAGGCGUUAAUCGGAAUUACUGGGCGUAAAGCGUGCGCAGGCGGUCUAUUAAGACAGGUGUGAAAUCCCCGGGCUUAACCUGGGAACUGCGCUUGUAACUGAUAGGCUGGAGUGUGGCAGAGGGGGGUGGAAUUCCAGGUGUAGCAGUGAAAUGCGUAGAGAUCUGGAGGAACACCGAUGGCGAAGGCAGCCCCCUGGGCUAACACUGACGCUCAUGCACGAAAGCGUGGGGAGCAAACAGGAUUAGAUACCCUGGUAGUCCACGCCCUAAACUAUGUCAACUGGUUGUCGGGGAAGCAAUUCCUUGGUAACGAAGCUAACGCGUGAAGUUGACCGCCUGGGGAGUACGGCCGCAAGGUUAAAACUCAAAGGAAUUGACGGGGACCCGCACAAGCGGUGGAUUAUGUGGAUUAAUUCGAUGCAACGCGAAAAACCUUACCUACCCUUGACAUGCCAGGAAGCUCCCAGAGAUGGGAGUGUGCCCGAAAGGGAACCUGGACACAGGUGCUGCAUGGCUG